RNAcentral lists this microRNA (22 nucleotides) under Monodelphis domestica (gray short-tailed opossum). RNAcentral's name for it is "mdo-miR-106-3p". Its record names the gene mdo-miR-106-3p. Lineage: Eukaryota; Metazoa; Chordata; Mammalia; Didelphimorphia; Didelphidae. The record is from miRBase by way of RNAcentral.
ACUGCCCUGUGAGCACUUCCAA